Molecule: ribosomal RNA, 2927 nt
Filed under: Staphylococcus epidermidis Scl19
Lineage: Bacteria; Bacillati; Bacillota; Bacilli; Caryophanales; Staphylococcaceae
Description: bacterial LSU rRNA
Rfam family: Bacterial large subunit ribosomal RNA
Source: RNAcentral
AGAUUAAGUUAUUAAGGGCGCACGGUGGAUGCCUUGGCACUAGAAGCCGAUGAAGGACGUUACUAACGACGAUAUGCUUUGGGUAGCUGUAAGUAAGCGUUGAUCCAGAGAUUUCCGAAUGGGGGAACCCAGCAUGAGUUAUGUCAUGUUAUCGACAUGUGAAUUCAUAGCAUGUCAGAAGGCAGACCCGGAGAACUGAAACAUCUUAGUACCCGGAGGAAGAGAAAGAAAAAUCGAUUCCCUGAGUAGCGGCGAGCGAAACGGGAAGAGCCCAAACCAACAAGCUUGCUUGUUGGGGUUGUAGGACACUCUAUACGGAGUUACAAAAGAACAUGUUAGACGAAUCAUCUGGAAAGAUGAAUCAAAGAAGGUAAUAAUCCUGUAGUCGAAAACAUAUUCUCUCUUGAGUGGAUCCUGAGUACGACGGAGCACGUGAAAUUCCGUCGGAAUCUGGGAGGACCAUCUCCUAAGGCUAAAUACUCUCUAGUGACCGAUAGUGAACCAGUACCGUGAGGGAAAGGUGAAAAGUACCCCGGAAGGGGAGUGAAAGAGAACUUGAAUCCGUGUGCUUACAAGUAGUCAGAGCCCGUUAAUGGGUGAUGGCGUGCCUUUUGUAGAAUGAACCGGCGAGUUACGAUCUGAUGCAAGGUUAAGCAGCAAAUGUGGAGCCGCAGCGAAAGCGAGUCUGAAUAGGGCGUUGAGUAUUUGGUCGUAGACCCGAAACCAGGUGAUCUACCCUUGGUCAGGUUGAAGUUCAGGUAACACUGAAUGGAGGACCGAACCGACUUACGUUGAAAAGUGAGCGGAUGAACUGAGGGUAGCGGAGAAAUUCCAAUCGAACUUGGAGAUAGCUGGUUCUCUCCGAAAUAGCUUUAGGGCUAGCCUCAAGUGAUGAUUAUUGGAGGUAGAGCACUGUUUGGACGAGGGGCCCCUCUCGGGUUACCGAAUUCAGACAAACUCCGAAUGCCAAUUAAUUUAACUUGGGAGUCAGAACAUGGGUGAUAAGGUCCGUGUUCGAAAGGGAAACAGCCCAGACCACCAGCUAAGGUCCCAAAAUAUAUGUUAAGUGGAAAAGGAUGUGGCGUUGCCCAGACAACUAGGAUGUUGGCUUAGAAGCAGCCAUCAUUUAAAGAGUGCGUAAUAGCUCACUAGUCGAGUGACACUGCGCCGAAAAUGUACCGGGGCUAAACAUAUUACCGAAGCUGUGGAUUGUCCUUUGGACAAUGGUAGGAGAGCGUUCUAAGGGCGUCGAAGCAUGAUCGCAAGGACAUGUGGAGCGCUUAGAAGUGAGAAUGCCGGUGUGAGUAGCGAAAGAACGGGUGAGAAUCCCGUCCACCGAUUGACUAAGGUUUCCAGAGGAAGGCUCGUCCGCUCUGGGUUAGUCGGGUCCUAAGCUGAGGCCGACAGGCGUAGGCGAUGGAUAACAGGUUGAUAUUCCUGUACCACCUAGUAUCGUUUUAAUCGAUGGGGGGACGCAGUAGGAUAGGCGAAGCGUGCUGUUGGAGUGCACGUCCAAGCAGUAAGGCUGAGUGUUAGGCAAAUCCGGCACUCAUAAGGCUGAGCUGUGAUGGGGAGAGGAAAUUGUUUCCUCGAGUCGUUGAUUUCACACUGCCGAGAAAAGCCUCUAGAUAGAUAACAGGUGCCCGUACCGCAAACCGACACAGGUAGUCAAGAUGAGAAUUCUAAGGUGAGCGAGCGAACUCUCGUUAAGGAACUCGGCAAAAUGACCCCGUAACUUCGGGAGAAGGGGUGCUCUUUAGGGUUCACGCCCAGAAGAGCCGCAGUGAAUAGGCCCAAGCGACUGUUUAUCAAAAACACAGGUCUCUGCUAAACCGUAAGGUGAUGUAUAGGGGCUGACGCCUGCCCGGUGCUGGAAGGUUAAGAGGAGUGGUUAGCUUCUGCGAAGCUACGAAUCGAAGCCCCAGUAAACGGCGGCCGUAACUAUAACGGUCCUAAGGUAGCGAAAUUCCUUGUCGGGUAAGUUCCGACCCGCACGAAAGGCGUAACGAUUUGGGCACUGUCUCAACGAGAGACUCGGUGAAAUCAUAGUACCUGUGAAGAUGCAGGUUACCCGCGACAGGACGGAAAGACCCCGUGGAGCUUUACUGUAGCCUGAUAUUGAAAUUCGGCACAGCUUGUACAGGAUAGGUAGGAGCCUUUGAAACGUGAGCGCUAGCUUACGUGGAGGCGUUGGUGGGAUACUACCCUAGCUGUGUUGGCUUUCUAACCCGCACCACUUAUCGUGGUGGGAGACAGUGUCAGGCGGGCAGUUUGACUGGGGCGGUCGCCUCCUAAAAGGUAACGGAGGCGCUCAAAGGUUCCCUCAGAAUGGUUGGAAAUCAUUCAUAGAGUGUAAAGGCAUAAGGGAGCUUGACUGCGAGACCUACAAGUCGAGCAGGGUCGAAAGACGGACUUAGUGAUCCGGUGGUUCCGCAUGGAAGGGCCAUCGCUCAACGGAUAAAAGCUACCCCGGGGAUAACAGGCUUAUCUCCCCCAAGAGUUCACAUCGACGGGGAGGUUUGGCACCUCGAUGUCGGCUCAUCGCAUCCUGGGGCUGUAGUCGGUCCCAAGGGUUGGGCUGUUCGCCCAUUAAAGCGGUACGCGAGCUGGGUUCAGAACGUCGUGAGACAGUUCGGUCCCUAUCCGUCGUGGGCGUAGGAAAUUUGAGAGGAGCUGUCCUUAGUACGAGAGGACCGGGAUGGACAUACCUCUGGUGUACCAGUUGUCGUGCCAACGGCAUAGCUGGGUAGCUAUGUAUGGACGGGAUAAGUGCUGAAAGCAUCUAAGCAUGAAGCCCCCCUCAAGAUGAGAUUUCCCAACUUCGGUUAUAAGAUCCCUCGAAGAUGACGAGGUUAAUAGGUUCGAGGUGGAAGCGUGGUGACACGUGGAGCUGACGAAUACUAAUCGAUCGAAGACUUAAUCAAUUU